GAACAACAACUCUAUUCAAUUCAAAUAGAAAAAAAGUAACUGCACCUCAAUUUAAGAAUUUCUCACUCUUUUUGCUGUUUUUGAGCUAAAUUAGAGCUAGCUAACAACAGCAGCAGACAAACAAAACCGGUUGCCAUGGCAACGUGGCAGCAGAACAGAGUAGCAGUACCUGUGGGCUCUGGACUACUGCUAUGUCCCCCCUCAGCGCUGAAUCCAUUCUCUACCUCCCAGAGGUAAAAAAUGAUACAACGAGGAAAGCUUUUAAACAGAAACUACUAAGGCGGAGGCCACAAACCCUUUUCGCAGACCUCUACAAAAACUGAUGUGAGUAAUCACAUCUUUCUCACUGACCAGCCAAACGCAUGGCACUCAGCAGUCUGCUCUCACUUCCCAUCCAAAAUGUAAGGACCGACACUGGAGAUGAAAGGCAGGUACGGGGAGUCAACAUUUAAUCAGGAACAGACAGUAUCUCCCAGACCUCCAAGAAGCAUACUUCCCUCCAGCGUACUUGAGUCAUGCUACUUCUCACCAAUAGAUCUGACAUCUUCAGUUCAUCUUCAGUUCAUUUAAGUUGAUGGCCAUAUUAUUAAGAUCCUAAGAAACAGAGCCUGGUCGAACGGAGAGAGGAGAGGAGCUGAACUGAGAGAGUUGAAACAGAGCCUGGUCGAACUGAGAGGAGAGGAGCUGAGCUGAGCUGAGAGCUGAAAGCUGAAACAGAGCCUGCUCGACCUGAGAGGAGAGGAGCUGAAAGCUGAAACAGAGCCUGCUUGACCUGAGAGGAGCUGAGCUGAAAGCUGAAACAGAGCCUGGUCGAACUGAGAGGAG
Molecule: long non-coding RNA, 825 nt
Filed under: Salmo salar (Atlantic salmon)
Lineage: Eukaryota; Metazoa; Chordata; Actinopteri; Salmoniformes; Salmonidae
Description: lncRNA (ENSSSAG00000091936.1)
Source: RNAcentral